ACACACGGCGGGUGCUAACGUCCGUCGUGAAGAGGGAAACAACCCAGACCGCCAGCUAAGGUCCCAAAGUCAUGGUUAAGUGGGAAACGAUGUGGGAAGGCCCAGACAGCCAGGAUGUUGGCUUAGAAGCAGCCAUCAUUUAAAGAAAGCGUAAUAGCUCACUGGUCGAGUCGGCCUGCGCGGAAGAUGUAACGGGGCUAAACCAUGCACCGAAGCUGCGGCAGCGACGCUUAUGCGUUGUUGGGUAGGGGAGCGUUCUGUAAGCCUGUGAAGGUGUGCUGUGAGGCAUGCUGGAGGUAUCAGAAGUGCGAAUGCUGACAUAAGUAACGAUAAAGCGGGUGAAAAGCCCGCUCGCCGGAAGACCAAGGGUUCCUGUCCAACGUUAAUCGGGGCAGGGUGAGUCGACCCCUAAGGCGAGGCCGAAAGGCGUAGUCGAUGGGAAACAGGUUAAUAUUCCUGUACUUGGUGUUACUGCGAAGGGGGGACGGAGAAGGCUAUGUUGGCCGGGCGACGGUUGUCCCGGUUUAAGCGUGUAGGCUGGUUUUCCAGGCAAAUCCGGAAAAUCAAGGCUGAGGCGUGAUGACGAGGCACUACGGUGCUGAAGCAACAAAUGCCCUGCUUCCAGGAAAAGCCUCUAAGCAUCAGGUAACAUCAAAUCGUACCCCAAACCGACACAGGUGGUCAGGUAGAGAAUACCAAGGCGCUUGAGAGAACUCGGGUGAAGGAACUAGGCAAAAUGGUGCCGUAACUUCGGGAGAAGGCACGC
Molecule: ribosomal RNA, 766 nt
Filed under: Escherichia coli
Lineage: Bacteria; Pseudomonadati; Pseudomonadota; Gammaproteobacteria; Enterobacterales; Enterobacteriaceae
Description: partial 23S ribosomal RNA
Rfam family: Bacterial large subunit ribosomal RNA
Source: RNAcentral